AUUGAACGCUGGCGGCAUGCCUUACACAUGCAAGCCGAACGGUAACAGGUCUUCGGAUGCUGACGAGUGGCGAACGGGUGAGUAAUACAUCGGAACGUGCCCGAUCGUGGGGGAUAACGAGGCGAAAGCUUUGCUAAUACCGCAUACGAUCUACGGAUGAAAGCGGGGGAUCUUCGGACUACGCGCGGACGGAGCGGCCGAUGGCAGAUUAGGUAGUUGGUGGGAUAAAAGCUUACCAAGCCGACGAUCUGUAGCUGGUCUGAGAGGAUGAUCAGCCACACUGGGACUGAGACACGGCCCAGACUCCUACGGGAGGCAGCAGUGGGGAAUUUUGGACAAUGGGCGAAAGCCUGAUCCAGCCAUGCCGCGUGCAGGAUGAAGGCCUUUGGGUUGUAAACUGCUUUUGUACGGAACGAAAAGCCUCUUUCUAAUAAAGAGGGGUCAUGACGGUACCGUAAGAAUAAGCACCGGCUAACUACGUG
RNAcentral lists this ribosomal RNA (482 nucleotides) under uncultured bacterium. RNAcentral's name for it is "partial 16S ribosomal RNA". It matches the Rfam family "Bacterial small subunit ribosomal RNA", at positions 30 to 507 of the family's 1533-position model. The record is from RNAcentral.